CACUCCUACGGGAGGCAGCAGUGGGGAAUUUUGGACAAUGGGCGAAAGCCUGAUCCAGCAAUGCCGCGUGAGUGAAGAAGGCCUUCGGGUUGUAAAGCUCUUUUGUCAGGGAAGAAACGGUGAAAGCUAAUAUCUUUUGCUAAUGACGGUACCUGAAGAAUAAGCACCGGCUAACUACGUGCCAGCAGCCGCGGUAAUACGUAGGGUGCAAGCGUUAAUCGGAAUUACUGGGCGUAAAGCGUGCGCAGGCGGUUUUGUAAGUCUGAUGUGAAAUCCCCGGGCUCAACCUGGGAAUUGCAUUGGAGACUGCAAGGCUAGAAUCUGGCAGAGGGGGGUAGAAUUCCACGUGUAGCAGUGAAAUGCGUAGAUAUGUGGAGGAACACCGAUGGCGAAGGCAGCCCCCUGGGUCAAGAUUGACGCUCAUGCACGAAAGCGUGGGGAGCAAACAGGAUUAGAUACCCUUGUAGUCCCAUGA
Molecule: ribosomal RNA, 475 nt
Filed under: uncultured organism
Description: partial 16S ribosomal RNA
Rfam family: Bacterial small subunit ribosomal RNA
Source: RNAcentral